GAUGAACGCUGGCGGCGUGCCUAAUACAUGCAAGUCGAGCGAACGGACGAGAAGCUUGCUUCUCUGAUGUUAGCGGCGGACGGGUGAGUAACACGUGGAUAACCUACCUAUAAGACUGGGAUAACUUCGGGAAACCGUAGCUAAUACCGGAUAAUAUUUUGAACCGCAUGGUUCAAAAGUGAAAGACGGUCUUGCUGUCACUUAUAGAUGGAUCCGCGCUGCAUUAGCUAGUUGGUAAGGUAACGGCUUACCAAGGCAACGAUGCAUAGCCGACCUGAGAGGGUGAUCGGCCACCCUGGACCUGAGCCACGGUCCAGACUCCUACGGGAGGCAGCGGUAGGAAAUCUUCCGCAAUGGGCGAAAGCCUGACGGAGCAACGCCGCGUGAGUGAUGAAGGUCUUCGGUUCGUAAAACUCUGUUAUUAGGGAAGAACAUAUGUGUAAGUAACUGUGCACAUCUUGACGGUACCUAAUCAGAAAGCCCCGGCUAACUCCGU
Molecule: ribosomal RNA, 496 nt
Filed under: uncultured bacterium
Lineage: Bacteria
Description: partial 16S ribosomal RNA
Rfam family: Bacterial small subunit ribosomal RNA
Source: RNAcentral